GAGACAGCAGCCGCCGCGGGAAUACGAAGGGUGCAAGCGUUACUCGGAAUUACUGGGCGUAAAGCGUGCGUAGGUGGUGGUUUAAGUCCGUUGUGAAAGCCCUGGGCUCAACCUGGGAAUUGCAGUGGAUACUGGGUCACUAGAGUGUGGUAGAGGAUAGUGGAAUUUCCGGUGUAGCAGUGAAAUGCGUAGAAAUCGGAAGGAACAUCUGUGGCGAAGGCGACUAUCUGGGCCAACACUGACACUGAGGCACGAAAGCGUGGGGAGCAAGCAGGAUUAGAUACCCCGGUAGUCCCUGUCUCUUAUAC
This 308-nucleotide ribosomal RNA is filed under the name uncultured bacterium. RNAcentral's name for it is "partial 16S ribosomal RNA". It matches the Rfam family "Bacterial small subunit ribosomal RNA", at positions 505 to 807 of the family's 1533-position model. The record is from RNAcentral.